RNAcentral lists this ribosomal RNA (253 nucleotides) under uncultured bacterium. Its description in RNAcentral is "partial 16S ribosomal RNA". It matches the Rfam family "Bacterial small subunit ribosomal RNA", at positions 524 to 776 of the family's 1533-position model. The record is from RNAcentral.
UACGAGGGGGGCGAGCGUUGUUCGGAAUUAUUGGGCGUAAAGGGUGCGUAGGCGGUUCCGCAAGUCCUGUGUGAAAGCCCCGAGCUUAACUUGGGAAUUGCGCUCGAAACUACGAUGCUGGAGUGUGGCAGAGGAAGGUGGAAUUCCACGUGUAGCGGUGAAAUGCGUAGAGAUGUGGAGGAACACCGAUGGCGAAGGCAGCCUUCUGGGCCAACACUGACGCUCAUGCACGAAAGCGUGGGGAGCAAACAGG